Molecule: ribosomal RNA, 1151 nt
Filed under: Campylobacter jejuni
Lineage: Bacteria; Pseudomonadati; Campylobacterota; Epsilonproteobacteria; Campylobacterales; Campylobacteraceae
Description: partial 23S ribosomal RNA
Rfam family: Bacterial large subunit ribosomal RNA
Source: RNAcentral
GCGAAUGGUGGAUGCCUUGACUGGUAAAGGCGAUGAAGGACGUACUAGACUGCGAUAAGCUACGGGGAGCUGUCAAGAAGCUUUGAUCCGUAGAUUUCCGAAUGGGGCAACCCAAUGUAUAGAGAUAUACAUUACCUAUAUAGGAGCGAACGAGGGGAAUUGAAACAUCUUAGUACCCUCAGGAAAAGAAAUCAAUAGAGAUUGCGUCAGUAGCGGCGAGCGAAAGCGCAAGAGGGCAAACCCAGUGCUUGCACUGGGGGUUGUAGGACUGCAAUGUGCAAGAGGUAAGUUUAGCAGAACAUUCUGGAAAGUAUAACCAUAGAGGGUGAUAGUCCCGUAUGCGAAAAACAAACCUUAGCUAGCAGUAUCCUGAGUAGGGCGGGACACGAGGAAUCCUGUCUGAAUCCGGGUCGACCACGAUCCAACCCUAAAUACUAAUACCAGAUCGAUAGUGCACAAGUACCGUGAGGGAAAGGUGAAAAGAACUGAGGUGAUCAGAGUGAAAUAGAACCUGAAACCAUUUGCUUACAAUCAUUCAGAGCCCUAUGUAGCAAUACAGGGUGAUGGACUGCCUUUUGCAUAAUGAGCCUGCGAGUUGUGGUGUCUGGCAAGGUUAAGCAAACGCGAAGCCGUAGCGAAAGCGAGUCUGAAUAGGGCGCUUAGUCAGAUGCUGCAGACCCGAAACGAAGUGAUCUAUCCAUGAGCAAGUUGAAGCUAGUGUAAGAACUAGUGGAGGACUGAACCCAUAGGCGUUGAAAAGCCCCGGGAUGACUUGUGGAUAGGGGUGAAAGGCCAAUCAAACUUCGUGAUAGCUGGUUCUCUCCGAAAUAUAUUUAGGUAUAGCGUUGUGUCGUAAUAUAAGGGGGUAGAGCACUGAAUGGGCUAGGGCAUACACCAAUGUACCAAACCCUAUCAAACUCCGAAUACCUUAUAUGUAAUCACAGCAGUCAGGCGGCGAGUGAUAAAAUCCGUCGUCAAGAGGGAAACAACCCAGACUACCAGCUAAGGUCCCUAAGUCUUACUUAAGUGGAAAACGAUGUGAAGUUACUUAAACAACCAGGAGGUUGGCUUAGAAGCAGCCAUCCUUUAAAGAAAGCGUAAUAGCUCACUGGUCUAGUGAUUUUGCGCGGAAAAUAUAACGGGGCUAAAGU